CUGAUAUGGCAGGAUGAGAAGUCACUAUUGGGAAUCGGCCAAUUGCUGCUACAGUUGGAGAUCGGCCUAUUUAGCGCUACAGUGUUCUAACAGAUAGAGUUGGUAGGGAUCGGCCGAUUGGAAGGUUGGAGCAGUUGGGCCAAUAUGGGCUUAAAGUGGAUCAGAAAGAGAAUAUGAAGGGGGAUUGGCCCGUGGGAGUGCAAUGACCAAAUCCGAUACGAGUUGUACUUGUAAAUAUUUGUUUUCGUUUAAAAUUAGAGAUAGAUCCUAGUCGGUUAAGAAGUUGGUCAUAACAAGCUAUAAAUAGCCACCUUUAGAGAUAU
RNAcentral lists this long non-coding RNA (323 nucleotides) under Setaria viridis. RNAcentral describes it as "long non-coding RNA (SVIR_LNC007010)". The record is from RNAcentral. Lineage: Eukaryota; Viridiplantae; Streptophyta; Magnoliopsida; Poales; Poaceae.